Molecule: long non-coding RNA, 1287 nt
Organism: Drosophila yakuba
Lineage: Eukaryota; Metazoa; Arthropoda; Insecta; Diptera; Drosophilidae
Exons: 2
Source: RefSeq, a predicted model, not a curated record
UCUACAAAGCAGACACACUUGUGUAAGACCCACUUUGGUGGUUUCAUAAUCAACACAUCCAAGUGGCGACGACUACGACGUCGGCCAUUUUGCGGCCACCAUCAAAAAAUGCCCAGCAGAAGUGGCAGCCAACCACCUCCACCCACUGGGAAAACUCUUAGGAAAACUCUGCCCCCCGCUUCCCGCUCCGCACUUUCAUUCGCUCAGUCGUUGUGCAUAAAACGCUGCUUAUUAAAUUUCGCUCAAUUUUAAUAAGCAACUUUUUUGUGCGCACAUUCCCAAGAAACAAAGUGAAAAAUGCUGCAAUUAUGAGUGUUUCUCCUCAACCAAAUAUUUGUAUUAAAAAAGGAAAUCUGUGCAAGGCUAAUAUAGAAAGGUGCUCUUAUGCUCUUAAAAUAAAUUUUAAAAAUAAAAGUUAAAAACCAAUUAAGAAUGUAGAAAUGUUUUUUAAAGAAAUUAUCCUCCACAGAAGAGGCAAACCCAUUGGCUAAGCGACCAUACCCUUUCCUAACCCAAGUAAAAGAAAGUGUAUUUGGGCACAGGGUAAAGCAAAAAACAAAACAGCAACGGACUGUGAUGACUUUUAAUGAAUUUUUCACGCGCGCUUUGCAAAUGAAACUCAUUUUGCUGGGGCACGUUCUUCCCCCUCGCAUUUCGCAUUUGGCGGGGAGCGUUUUAAGCAGAUUUGCUCGCAUGAAAGCGAAAACUAGCGAGACUAAAAUGUUAUUACGCAUACGCUCUGUUGGCCGACGGAUGGCCCUUAAAUUUGGGUCAAUUUUAGUUGUUUUUCGUACACGAAAAAUUUCCAAGCGCAAGUGUUUCAGUUUUACUCGUUUCAUGUUUUUAUUUUUAUCAUUUUUUUGUAAGAAGACUCAGCUUGGACGACAGUUCAUCGACUGAGAAAUGUUUAAACAAAAGCCGAAGAAGCAACAAGCUUUUCUCUAGUUUUUGCAAACGAAAUGAAAGAAAUGAGUUCACGUGCCCCUCCGUUUAUUUUAAUUAAAUGAGCUGGGUUUUGUGGCCUAAUUAGUUUCACCUGUGUCAAUGUGCAAACAAAGCCGCCAAAGCAUAUGGAAUGUAUGCCAGGAGCUUUUGUUGCUGCUGAUGAAGAAGACAACAACGGACAUAUACACAAAUAUAUAUGGUAUGAUAUUAAAAGGUAGCCAGACGAGACUGCAUCCAAAACAAUACCAACAUUUACUGAAAAAUCCAUCCAGGGUAAAAGCUUCAUUUUGUGUUCCCUACACAAGGCACCAAUAAAGGAAAAGAAUAAACUCUGCCCAUGAA